This 464-nucleotide ribosomal RNA is filed under the name Vreelandella stevensii. RNAcentral describes it as "partial 16S ribosomal RNA". It matches the Rfam family "Bacterial small subunit ribosomal RNA", at positions 338 to 794 of the family's 1533-position model. Lineage: Bacteria; Pseudomonadati; Pseudomonadota; Gammaproteobacteria; Oceanospirillales; Halomonadaceae. The record is from RNAcentral.
CCUACGGGGGGCUGCAGUGGGGAAUAUUGGACAAUGGGCGAAAGCCUGAUCCAGCCAUGCCGCGUGUGUGAAGAAGGCCUUCGGGUUGUAAAGCACUUUCAGUGGGGAAGAAAGCCUUGGGGCUAAUACCCUCGAGGAAGGACAUCACCCACAGAAGAAGCACCGGCUAACUCCGUGCCAGCAGCCGCGGUAAUACGGAGGGUGCGAGCGUUAAUCGGAAUUACUGGGCGUAAAGCGCGCGUAGGCGGUCUGAUAAGCCGGUUGUGAAAGCCCCGGGCUCAACCUGGGAACGGCAUCCGGAACUGUCAGGCUAGAGUGCAGGAGAGGAAGGUAGAAUUCCCGGUGUAGCGGUGAAAUGCGUAGAGAUCGGGAGGAAUACCAGUGGCGAAGGCGGCCUUCUGGACUGACACUGACGCUGAGGUGCGAAAGCGUGGGUAGCAAACAGGAUUAGAUACCCUAGUAGC